This 446-nucleotide ribosomal RNA is filed under the name uncultured bacterium. RNAcentral's name for it is "SSU rRNA". It matches the Rfam family "Bacterial small subunit ribosomal RNA", at positions 26 to 518 of the family's 1533-position model. The record is from RNAcentral.
AGAGCGAACGCUGGCGGCAGGCUUAACACAUGCAAGUCGAGCGGGCGUAGCAAUACGUCAGCGGCAGACGGGUGAGUAACGCGUGGGAACAUACCUUUUGGUUCGGAACAACACAGGGAAACUUGUGCUAAUACCGGAUAAGCCCUUACGGGGAAAGAUUUAUCGCCGAAAGAUUGGCCCGCGUCUGAUUAGCUAGUUGGUGAGGUAACGGCUCACCAAGGCGACGAUCAGUAGCUGGUCUGAGAGGAUGAUCAGCCACAUUGGGACUGAGACACGGCCCAAACUCCUACGGGAGGCAGCAGUGGGAAUAUUGGACAAUGGGCGCAAGCCUGAUCCAGCCAUGCCGCGUGAGUGAUGAAGGCCCUAGGGUUGUAAAGCUCUUUGUGCGGAAGAUAAUGACGGUACCGCAAGAAUAACGCCCCGGCUAACUUCGUGCCAGCAGCCGC